CCCUCCUGAGUCCUGAUUCUUUGUAUGUGACUCUUUCUCCCUUCUGUCACUGGCGUUCUGAAAUUUCAGGGUGGCAUGCUUUGGUGAAGGUUUGUUUUCAUGCAGUGCCAGGCUGUUGUUGAACCCUUUCAGAAUGGACUCUGGUCCUUCACUUCUGGGAAACUUCCUUGAAUUCGUUGUUAAUGAUUUCCUUCCUUUAGUUUUCUGGCUUUUCUUCCUGGAAUUCCUGUUCAGAUAUUGGAUCUCCUGGACUUAUCUCUGUUUUUCUUAUUUUUUCUGUCCCUACCACCUCCUGUUUUCUUGACUUUUUGAUCUCCUUUAUGGAAGAUUUCCUGUUGAUUGUCUAAGUGUUCCUUUUUUUUUUUUUUAAUUAGGACCUCAUUCCAUGGUUGCAGCAUCUUAUCUCUGAGAACAUUAAUAUGCUUUGUUGAAGCUUUCAUCUCCUGCGUGAUUUUUUUUUCCCUUUUUGUUUUGCUUUUAGUCUUUCAUGUUACAGACUUUCCUUAGCUGCCUGGCAAUCAUUGGUAGUCUGCUUAUAUUUACAGGUGGGAUAUUAAGAAGAAUAUGUGUUUGUAAGAUGAACUGAUUGAACUUUUUUUUUUUUUUAAGAUUUUAUUUAUUCAUUUGAGAGAGAAUGAGAUAGAGAGAGCAUGAGAGGGGGGAGGGUCAGAGAGAGAAGCAGACUCCCUGCCGAGCAGGGAGCCCGAUGCGGGACUCGAUCCUGGGACUCCAGGAUCAUGACCUGAGCCGAAGGCAGUCGCUUAACCAACUGAGCCACCCAGGCGCCCCUGAUUGAACUUUUUUUGGCAAAUCCCUAAUGUCCACUACUUUUAGGACUUUCCUCUUGGCCUGGUCAGGUUCGCUGGAGGAAACUUCCAGUUUCAUGUCUGGAGGGUUUACCUUGAACUGCUGCUGGCCUUGUGGGAACUCAGUGAAGGAAGAGGGCUAGAGAGCUUCAGCAUUCUAGUAUGCCUAGGUUCACUUAUCUUCCAGCUCUCUGAGAAGGCCUCCUCCCCAGAAACCUACCCCCUCUAGAGAAAAAGCUUCCAACUUUUGCCAAGGCGGGGGAGGAGCAGUCUCAAGAUCACAUGGAGGUCUGGAUAUUGAUGCACAAUCUCUCUUUUUAAAAAAACAUGUAUUUUGACAAGAUGAAAUCAGAGAGGGAGAUAAAUCAUAAGAGACUCUUAAUCAUAGGAAACAAACAGGGUUGCUGGAGGGGAUGGGGGUAGGGGGAUGGGGUACCUGGGUGAUGGACAUUAAGGAGGGCUCGUGAUGUAAUGAGCACUGAGUAUUAUGUAAGACUGAUGAAUCACUGACCUCUACUGCUGAAACUAAUAAUGCAUUAUAUGUUAAUUAAUUGAAUUUAAAUAAAUAAAAUUUUAAAAAUUGUUUGAAAAUAUAUUAGUCUAGGGGUGCCUGGGUGGCUCAGUCAGUUAAGUGUCUGCUCAGGUCAUGAUCCCAGGGUCCCGGGAUUGAGCCUGCUUCUCUCUCUGCCUCUCCCGCCCUCCUGCUCUGCUCUCUCUCACUUGCUCUCAAAUAAAUAAAAUCUUAAAAAAAAAAAAUAGUUGAAAAUGGAAAAUAACUUGGCAAAAUAAAGAAGAUACAGAGCAAAGAAUGAUGUCAGAUAACUAGACCAAGAUUUAAGGGAUAGAUUCUGGUUCUGAUUACCUCCACUACUUCUUUCCAAGCCUCUAGUUUGUUAUCUAUGCAAGGGAGGGUUUAGAUUCAGUUGAUUCGGGCGCCUGGGUGGCUCAGUUGGUUGGGCGACUGCCUUCAGCUCAGGUCAUGAUGCUGGAGUCCCUGGAUCGAGUCCCGCAUCGGGCUCCCUGCUUGGCAGGGAGUCUGCUUCUCCCUCUGACCCUCCCCCCUCUCAUGUGCUCUCUCUCAUUCUCUCUCUCUCAGAUAAAUAAAUAAAAUCUUUAAAAAAAAAUAGAUUCAGUUGAUUCAUCAAUACUAUCUCAGUCUCUAUGCUUACCUGCUGGGUAUUCCAUUAGCUUAAAAAAAAUGCAGGAAUUUUUUCUGCCUCUGGUCAAAUGGAGUUAAGUGCAUGGAUUUGGUCUCAAACCUGAAAAUUAAAUAAAACUCAAACAUUGAAAGAGAGCAAUCCCUAGGAGAUGGGAAACAAAUUAAGAUGGCUUGCUUACUACUGCCUUGUGAGAGUUUCUGGGCAGUGGAACAGGGAGGAAACUGAAAGGUUGAAGGGUCUGAGCUAGGAGUUCAGAGAAGUUGAGGCAGCUCAUGUUCAUGAGACAGAAUACCAGAAUAAAGCUGCACAGAGAACCCAGGAGAUCUGCAGAAGAGCCCUCUUGAGUACUCAGAAUACUGGUCAGCACAAGAGUGUGAAAAAACUAACUGAGGCCAGAGAAAGAACCAUCAAAAAGGAUUAUAACUGCCUGGCAUUACACAAGGCUGGGAAUUGUUCCUACCAGCCAGAUAAAAAUUUCACAGAAUAGGGGCACCUGAGUGGCUCAGUCGUUAAGCGUCUGCCUUCGGCUUAGGUCAUGAUCCCGGGAUCGAGCCCCACAUUGGGCUCCCUGCUCCGCGGGAGGCCUGCUUCUCCCUCUCCCACUCCCCUUGCUUGUGUUCCCUCUCGCUGUGUCUCUCUCUGUCAAAUAGAUAAAAUCUUAAAAAAAAAAUUUCACAGACUAUUGGGUAGACCAUUGUUUGAAAAUGUACCAAGGAUUUUGUUUUAAUUAGGUAUAGUGUAGACAUGGAGACAACUGCCUUGAAAAAAGGUGAUUACAGUUUCCAAGAGAAGGGAGCAUGCCAUGCCAUUCAGAGUCACAUGAAGAAACCCCAGAGUGGGUCAGGAGGCAGUAGGAGUGAGGGGCCUUUAACCUGUGGUUUCCAUGGGGAAGGAAUGGGCAAGGUAAGGUAGGCAAGUUUGAGUAAGCUUAGAAUUGGUUCAUUCAAAUAAAUUCAGAGGGUUCUUGGCUAUAGGAGUGGUCUCUAGUUAUCCAUAACCUGGCCCUGACGUGACUUAGGACAGAGGAAAUACUGGUUUGCUAUGUGAGAAUUAGGUAAAGGUGGUUGGAGUUACAGUUUGAUUAGUAAGUUUGUAUAUGAAAGGCUCACUCUGCAAGUGAAUUGUUUACUGUCUAGGAAUUAACCAACUCUGGGAGGGCAGUCUCCAGGAUUAGCAAGUCCCCAAGACACAAAGCAUCAUAAAAAUAAAUUUUUAAAACACUUAAAAAAUUAACAAAAUAAAAAAUAAAUAAAUAAAUAAAUAAAAAUAAGGUAUCAAGGAAAGUCUUGCCUCAUUAAGUGAGGAAUAAUUAGCUCUGGACUGAGCACUGCUCAGGACCCACAUUAACAAAUAAUAAAAAUGAGACGGGAAAGGAUCAAACUGUUUCCAAUUAGCUGUAUCCUAGAGCAAAACUCAACAAGAUUUAUAGGAAUAUAAAAAUACCAAGCACAUUACAAGGUAAAAUUCUGGCAUCCAAUCAGAUUACCAGGCUUGCAAAGAGGCAGGAAAGCACAACCCAUAAUGAGAAUAGUCAAAGCAGAUCCAAAACGGACCCAAUUGUUAGCAUUAGCAGAGAAGGACAUUAAACAUUAUUUUAACUAUUUCCUUUUUCAAAAAGUUAAGAAGGGUGGUUCAGAGGGUUGAGCAUCUGACUCUUGAUUUCCACUCAGAUUUCAGGGUUGUGAGAUCUAGCCCCACUCCCCCAACAGUUGGGCUCUGUGCUCAGCAGGGAGUCUGCUUGAGAUUCUCUCUCUUCCUCUCCGUCUGCCCCUCCUCCACUUGCACACUCACUCCCUAAAUAAAUAAAUAAAUAAAAUCUUUUAGAAAAAAGGAGAGGCAUAGAUGAUUUAAAAAGACAGAGGAGGUGAGAGGAAUGGGGAUGGGAGGAGAAAGAAGGAAAAGGAGGAAAGGGGAGAAAUUUCAAAUUGAAGUUUGAUGAACUUUGAAAACAUGCUAAGUGAAAGAAACCAGACACAAAAGGCCAUGUAUGAUUCCAUUUAUAUGAAAUGUUCACAAUAGGCAAAUUCACAGAGACAAAGCAGAUUAGUGGUUGCCACAGACUGGGGAAGGGAGAAUAAGGAGUGCCUACGUGAUGGCAAUGGGGUUUCUUUUAUGGGGUAAUGAAAACGUUCUGUAAUUAGGAUGGUUGCACAACAGGGAGAAUAUACUAAAAGCCACUGAAUUGUACACUUUAAAAAGGUUAAAAUGGUGGGAUGCCUGGCUGGCUCAGUGGCUUUAGGGCGUGACUCUCGAUCUCUAUAAAUUGUAAGUUUGAGCCCUAAGCUGGGGGUAGAGAUUACCUAAAAAUAAAUCUAAUAAAAAAUGGUUAAAAUGGGGAAUUUUAUAUUAUGUGGAUUUUGCCUCAAUAAAAAAAAGUUAAGCCAACAAGAGGAGAUUUAUGAUGGAUUCAUAAAUAUUCUAAAAGAAGGCAGAAAAAGAGGAAGAGGGGAACAAAGAACAGAUGGGGCAAAUAGAAAAUAAAUAGCAAGGGGCGCCUGGGUGGCGCAGUCGUUAAGCGUCUGCCUUCGGCUCAGGUCAUGAUCCCAGGUCCUGGGAUCGAGCCCCACAUCGGGCUCUCUGCUCUGCAGGAAACCUGCUCCUCCCUCUCCCGCUCCUCCUGCCUGUUCCCUCUCUGGCUGUCUCUCUCUCUGUCAAAUAAAUAAAAUCUUAAAAAAAAAAAAAAAAAGAAAUAGCAAGAUGACGGGCCAUCAAUAAUGGCUUCUUGAGGGGUCCAAGCCCAUGGUCCCGGCUGUGAUGUAGGGGAGGCUGGUGGUGGUCGCUGUGGAGGUUUUGCACCAAUGCCCAGCAGAGGCAGCCUCUUGUAGGCAGAGCCCCCUGGGAGUGGUGGCUGGGUAGGGUAAGGAAGGAAGAAUGAGCAAGGGGGAAAACAAAGGAUGGAGGGGACAUGCUGAUGCUGGUGAAGUACCAACAGCUGCAGCUUCAGGAGCUGUGUGUGUCUGGUUUGGAGAUCUAGUCUGGUGGACCCCUUAAGGAAGGAAGAUACAGAAUUUAAACCUUGUCUCACAAGUGUAUGGUAGAGCCAAAGAAGACAAACAACCAAGGGUCAUCUGAAAUUGUUAUCAGUUCCCUAAUAAUCUCAGGACAAAGUUGGAGAUCACUAUUAAAGCAUAAGACUUACAGAGAUGUUUGAUAUAAAGACUUGGGCUGAGUGUGUUGUGGAAUGGGCUGCAAAGGACCCACUUGGCUUCCUUACAAUGUUGUUUUGGCCCUUACUCCAUUGUUUCUAACAAAUGUCAUACUGUCCGGGAAAUUGGCCGAGAUGAUGGAGGGAAAAGGAGCAAAAGAAGAAGCAAAACUGUCAAGGAACUAUUGCAAACGCUAAAUGACUGAAAAAGGAUUGAAGGAACGAACAGCUUCUUGCGCCCAGAGGAAAAUUAUUUGGAAAAUUAUGCAGCUUUGGAAGGACCCACUAAGGUUUCUUUUCUGGUUUUUAUGACAGUAAUUUGUAGUAAACGAAGUCUGAGCACAUGGAAGAGUCAUGUUAGUUGUGACUUCUACUGCAGCAACUUUUAGGCUCUGUGUAGAAGUCUGUUGAUGGUUAUUGUAAAUUGGCAUUUAUUAUGCUAUAAAUUCUUUAUAACGGACUUAGUCAUUUGCCAUUUUGCAGUUUAUGUACUGUAAUGAAAACAUCCUGUGGAGAAUAAUGACUAUGUAUUAUGAACUCUAUUCAAAUAAUGGCUUAGAAUGGAGUUCUUUUCUGGACGAAGGGAAUUAAGAAUGUAAAAAUCAGAACUAUCUUGAGGUGAAAAAUGUGCUUUGGCUUAAAAGGCAUAUAGUAUACUAAUUACAUCUUUUAUCAUUAUUGCUUAUUUCUUGGAAUAGAAUCAUUUCUGGCUUUCUCAAAGCCAAAUAUUAACCAAUGACUAUUUCUGUGUUCUGCAUUUUUUCAUUUUUUAGCCUUUGAGAUAAUUAUCAGACAUUCUGCAUUUUUUUAUUUUAUUUAUUUAUUUGACAGAGAGAGAGACAACGAGAGAGGGAACACAAGCAGGGGGAGUGGGAGAGGGAGAAGCAGGCUUCCUGCCGAGCAGGGAGCCCGAUGCGGGGCUCGAUCCCAGGGCCCUGGGAUCAUGACCUGAGCCGAAGGCAGACGCUUAACGACUGAGCCACCCAGGUGCCCCAAUUCUGCAUUUUUUAAAAUCUAAUUUUAUAAAGAAUUCUUUUAUUGACUAUGUAGGAUACCACCUACCGGGUAUAACAAGUUUUGUACUUACGAACAUGAGUAAAAUAACACUAUGACUUAAAGCUUGCAGUAAAGGGGCCCCUGGGUGGCUCAGUCGGUUAAACCUCUGACUCUGGGGUCCUGGGAUUGAGCCCCACAUGAGCUUCCCUGCUCAGUGGGGAGUCUGCUCCGUCUCCCUCUGCUCCUCCCCCUGCUUAUGUGCCCUCUCUCUCUCUCAAAUAAAUAAAUAAAAUCUUAAAAAAAAAAAUAAGGCUUGCAGUAAAAAUGCAAACCUUGUGGUACUUUGGAACCAGGUUAUUCUUUCUUGUGGUAAGUAGAAAUGUGAAUUAGUUAAAAUGUCUUAUCAGAUAAUUUGCUGAUUAUAUAGAUGCCACUUUUAUGUUUUUUAUUCCGUUCUUUUUUUCAGUUUAUUUAGUAGUGAUGUUCUAUAUUUUGAUCAAACAGGUUCAUGGUGAAAAUUAAAAAUUCAAAUUUCUUGUAAGUCAUGUUUCGUAAGUGGUAAAGAAAGGUUUAACAUUUGGAAAAACUUUGUUCAUCGUACUAAUAAUUGGGUGAAAAAGGGAAGUUAUGUCAAAAUGAAAAUGUGUUAAAAUUAGAAAUAGGGGGCGCCUGGGUGGCUCAGUUGGUUGGGCGACUGCCUUCGGCUCAGGUCAUGAUCCUGGAGUCCCGGGAUCGAGUCCCACAUCGGGCUCCCUGCUCAGCGGGGAGUCUGCUUCUCCCUCUGACCCUCCCCGCUCUCAUGCUCUCUCUCUCAUUCUCUCUCUCUAAUAAAUAAAUAAAUAAAUAAAAUCUUAAAAAAAAUAAAAAAUAAAAAAUAAAUUAGAAAUAGGGUGGGGGGAUGGGUUAGCCUGGUGAUGGGUAUUAAAGAGGGCACGUAUUGAACAGAGCACUGGGUGUUAUACGCAAACAAUGAAUCAUGGAACACUACAUCAAAAACUAAUGAUGUAUGUAUGGUGACUAACAUAACAUAAUAAAAUUAAAAAAAUUAGAAAUAAAGAGCUAAAGUAUAUUUCCGUCAGUUAAGUAGUAUAACUGGAACUUUUAGUAUUAAACAUGGCUUUUAUAAAUGCAUAGUCCAAUAAUUUUAUUCACUGUCAGUAAUAGCUUCAUAAUGUUUUCCUCACCUCUGAUAAUGAAUUUUAAAUUACAAAAAAUUAUCUAACAGCUUUAAUUUAAAAAUGAAACUAGAUAUUGAAACAAAUUUGAGGGGUGCCUCAGUGGCUCAGUUGGUUAAGUGUCUGCCUUGUGCCUUCAGCUCAGGUUGUGAUCUCGGGGGCCUGGGAUCGAGCUCUGCAUCAGCUCCUUGCUCAGCGAGGAGCCUGCUUCUCCUUCUCCCUCUGCUUUCCACCCUCUGCUGGUGCUCUCUCACUCUAGCUCUCUCUCAAAUAAAUAAAUAAAAAAAAUCUUUUUUAAAAAUUAAAAA
Molecule: RNA transcript, 7590 nt
Organism: Mirounga angustirostris (Northern elephant seal)
Lineage: Eukaryota; Metazoa; Chordata; Mammalia; Carnivora; Phocidae
Gene name: small integral membrane protein 15-like
Exons: 1
Source: RefSeq, a predicted model, not a curated record